GUUCUCACAUUGGCAGCACACAUACUAAGACUAGAAUGAUACAGAGAUUAGCAUGACCCCUGGGCAAGGAUGACACACAAAUUCAUGAAGCACCCCGUAUUUUG
Bison bison bison is the source of this 104-nucleotide small nuclear RNA. NCBI's taxonomy places the organism in Eukaryota, Metazoa, Chordata, Mammalia, Artiodactyla, Bovidae. The record is from Ensembl.